Molecule: long non-coding RNA, 783 nt
Organism: Magallana angulata
Lineage: Eukaryota; Metazoa; Mollusca; Bivalvia; Ostreida; Ostreidae
Exons: 3
Source: RefSeq, a predicted model, not a curated record
AUUCACGGUCUAGGACUCGUCAAUCUUUUUCCUAGAACACAGGUCUUGUCCCCUCGAUGAAAUUUGACCGGCCAUCAUUCAUGAUAAUGAACGAUUAUAACUAUUACUCUCGCGUUGUUAUCGGUUACUCGGUGUGAGAUCGGUUUGUCCAAGGUGAGUCAGUGGUAUGGGAUUUUACUUACACUGCGAAAAGCAUCGUUCCAGACCGUGGAUCUUGGCCCCUUGAUGAAAUUUUACCACCCCGCAGUCAUAGGAAAGCAAAGAAGCAGCAUUGUCAUAUAAAUCUGAAUUAAUUCUCAUGCCAAUAUAUUAUAGCAGAUGGAGGAAAACCGGGAUCAAAUAACAAAGCAAAUUGAGGAGUAUCAAGAUGAAAUAAUAAGGCAUAUGGAAAAGAAUCAAGAUCAAAUAAUAAGGGAGAUGGAAGAGAAGCAAGAUCAAAUAAUAAGGGAGAUGAAGAAAAAGCAGAAUCAAAUAAUAAACGAGAUGAAGGAAAAGCAAGAUCAAAUAAUAAGACAGAUGGGUGAGAAUGAGGAUCAUAUAAUAAGGAAAAUGAAGAAAAAACAGGAUCAACUAAUAAGGCAGAUGAAGAAAAAGCGGGAUGAACUAAUAAUCCAGAUGGAGGAGAAGCAGGAUCAUAUAAUAAGGAAAAUGAAGAAAACGCAGGAUCAAAUUAUAAAACAGAUGGAGGAGAAUCAGGAUGCUAUCAAAAAGGGCAAGUAUAUGUUGCAAGUCUUUAUGCUUGAUAAAUAUAUUUAUUAUACUUUCAUGUUAAAUACUCAAUUC